GAUGAAGAACGCAGCGAAAUGCGAUAAGUAUUGUGAAUUGCAGAAUUCAGUGAAUCAUCGAAUCUUUGAACGCACAUUGCGCUCGCCAGUAUUCUGGCGAGCAUGCCUGUUCGAGCGUCAUUUCAACCAUCAAGCUCUGCUUGCGUUGGGGAUCCGCGUCUGACGCGGUCCCUCAAAAACAGUGGCGGGCUCGCUAGUCACACCGAGCGUAGUAACUCUACAUCGCUAUGGUCGUGCGGCGGGUUCUUGCCGUAAAACCCCCAAUUUCUAAGGUUGACCUCGGAUCAGGUAGGAAUACCCGCUGAACUUAAGCAUAUCAAUAAGCGGAGGA
RNAcentral lists this unclassified non-coding RNA (331 nucleotides) under soil metagenome. RNAcentral describes it as "partial contains 5.8S ribosomal RNA, internal transcribed spacer 2, and large subunit ribosomal RNA". The stretch from base 1 to 120 matches the Rfam family "5.8S ribosomal RNA", at positions 35 to 154 of the family's 154-position model. The record is from RNAcentral.